This 379-nucleotide ribosomal RNA is filed under the name uncultured eukaryote. RNAcentral describes it as "partial 18S ribosomal RNA". It matches the Rfam family "Eukaryotic small subunit ribosomal RNA", at positions 592 to 975 of the family's 1831-position model. The record is from RNAcentral.
CAAUAGCGUAUAUUAAAGUUGUUGCGGUUAAAAAGCUCGUAGUUGGAUUUCUGCUGAGAACGACCGGUCCGCCCUUUGGGUGUGUAUCUGGCUCUUUCUUGGCAUCUUCUUGGUGAACGUUGCUGCACUUGACUGUGUGGAGCGCUACCCAGGACUUUUACUUUGAGGAAAUUAGAGUGUUUCAAGCAGGCAUACGCCUUGAAUACAUUAGCAUGGAAUAAUAAGAUAGGAUCUCGGUUCUAUUUUGUUGGUUUCUAGAGCUGAGGUAAUGAUUAAUAGGGAUAGUUGGGGGCAUUCGUAUUUAACUGUCAGAGGUGAAAUUCUUGGAUUUGUUAAAGACGGACUACUGCGAANGNAUUUGCNAAGGAUGUUUNCAUUG